GACGAACGCUGGCGGCGUGCUUAACACAUGCAAGUCGAACGGUAAGGCCCUUCGGGGUACACGAGUGGCGAACGGGUGAGUAACACGUGGGUGAUCUGCCCUGCACUUCGGGAUAAGCCUGGGAAACUGGGUCUAAUACCGGAUAGGACUCCGGACUGCAUGGUCUGGGGUGGAAAGCUUUUGCGGUGUGGGAUGGGCCCGCGGCCUAUCAGCUUGUUGGUGGGGUGAUGGCCUACCAAGGCGACGACGGGUAGCCGGCCUGGGAGGGUGACCGGCAACACUGGGAGUGAGAUACAGCCCAGACUCCUCCGGGAGGCAGCAGUGGGGAAUAUUGCACAAUGGGCGCAAGCCUGAUGCAGCGACGCCGCGUGAGGGAUGACGGCCUUCGGGUUGUAAACCUCUUUCAGCAUCGACGAAGCGAAAGUGACGGUAGGUGCAGAAGAAGGACCGGCCAACUACGUGCCAGCCGCCGCAGUAA
RNAcentral lists this ribosomal RNA (478 nucleotides) under uncultured bacterium. RNAcentral describes it as "partial 16S ribosomal RNA". It matches the Rfam family "Bacterial small subunit ribosomal RNA", at positions 28 to 523 of the family's 1533-position model. The record is from RNAcentral.